AAAUUGAAGAGUUUGAUCAUGGCUCAGAUUGAACGCUGGCGGCAGGCCUAACACAUGCAAGUCGAACGGUAGCACAGAGAGCUUGCUCUCGGGUGACGAGUGGCGGACGGGUGAGUAAUGUCUGGGAAACUGCCUGAUGGAGGGGGAUAACUACUGGAAACGGUGGCUAAUACCGCAUAACGUCGCAAGACCAAAGAGGGGGACCUUCGGGCCUCUUGCCAUCAGAUGUGCCCAGAUGGGAUUAGCUAGUUGGUGAGGUAACGGCUCACCAAGGCGACGAUCCCUAGCUGGUCUGAGAGGAUGACCAGCCACACUGGAACUGAGACACGGUCCAGACUCCUACGGGAGGCAGCAGUGGGGAAUAUUGCACAAUGGGCGCAAGCCUGAUGCAGCCAUGCCGCGUGUAUGAAGA
RNAcentral lists this ribosomal RNA (412 nucleotides) under Salmonella enterica. RNAcentral describes it as "bacterial SSU rRNA". It matches the Rfam family "Bacterial small subunit ribosomal RNA", at positions 1 to 411 of the family's 1533-position model. Lineage: Bacteria; Pseudomonadati; Pseudomonadota; Gammaproteobacteria; Enterobacterales; Enterobacteriaceae. The record is from RNAcentral.